GGUUCCAUGGUGUAAAGGCGAGCACACUGGGCUCUGAAUCCAGGGAUCCGAGUUCAAGUCUCGGUGGAACCU
This 72-nucleotide transfer RNA is filed under the name Alligator sinensis (Chinese alligator). It matches the Rfam family "tRNA". Rfam says of the family: Transfer RNA (tRNA) molecules are approximately 80 nucleotides in length. Their secondary structure includes four short double-helical elements and three loops (D, anti-codon, and T loops). The record is from Rfam by way of RNAcentral. Lineage: Eukaryota; Metazoa; Chordata; Crocodylia; Alligatoridae.